AAUAAGCACCGGCAAACUUCGUGCCAGCAGCCGCGGUAAUACGAAGGGUGCAAGCGUUAAUCGGAAUUACUGGGCGUAAAGCGCGCGUAGGUGGUUUGGUAAGCGAUAUGUGAAAUCCCCGGGCUUAACCUGGGAACUGCAUGUCGAACUGCCAGGCUAGAGUAUAGUAGAGGAGUGUGGAAUUUCCUGUGUAGCGGUGAAAUGCGUAGAUAUAGGAAGGAACAUCAGUGGUCGACGCGGC
RNAcentral lists this ribosomal RNA (241 nucleotides) under uncultured Pseudomonas sp. RNAcentral's name for it is "partial 16S ribosomal RNA". It matches the Rfam family "Bacterial small subunit ribosomal RNA", at positions 485 to 725 of the family's 1533-position model. Lineage: Bacteria; Pseudomonadati; Pseudomonadota; Gammaproteobacteria; Pseudomonadales; Pseudomonadaceae. The record is from RNAcentral.